AACAACAAUAUGGGGCUGGUGUUUUAGCCUUCUUGUGCCUACUUUUGUUCACCCUUCGGCUUUCUUUAGGGAGGACGAUACUCUUUUUUUUUUUUUUAAUGUUUAAAGUCUCCAAUGGUAGUGGACAAAGUUGGUGCAGAGUUGGGGCUACAUCUCAUCUAGCGAAUGCCUCUUAUUAUGUGGCACCAUUGCAGAAACCAAGGACCAUAUAUAUUUUAUGAAUGCCAGCCGGUUUACACAACAUGUUCUUACAUCCAAUAGAGCUUUGGUACAACCUAAACCCUGGCUGGAUGCAUUGAACUGGGCCAUUAAGCAAGCAAAGACCCAUUGCGUCUUGUCUUUGCUUGAUUAGGUAGGAGAUUGCCAACAGAUACCUUUAGGUUGCUAACAAAUAUUGUUAGACAGUAAUUAUCUACCCUUACCAAAUUUACUCAUUCCUUAAACUCCUUGAUGGAUUGGUGGUUGAUUGGGAUAUAGGCGAAUAAGUAGUGUCUUAUUUGCUUUAUUUCUCCUUAUUGAGUUGGGUUGUAAUCAUUAUCAAUGUUGUUAUACGCGGUAACAAAAUUUUGCUUCC
Molecule: long non-coding RNA, 574 nt
Filed under: Gossypium raimondii (Peruvian cotton)
Lineage: Eukaryota; Viridiplantae; Streptophyta; Magnoliopsida; Malvales; Malvaceae
Description: long non-coding RNA (GRAI_LNC001618)
Source: RNAcentral